GCAGUAACACGUAGUCAACAUAACCAAAGGACGUGGAUAAACUCGGGAAACUGAGGCUAAACCGCGAUAGUUCAAGAUACCUGGAAUGGUUUUUGAUCAAAAUCUAUAUGGCCUUUGGAUUGGACUGCGUCCGAUCAGGCUGUUGGUGAGGUAGAAUGGCCCACCAAACCUAUAACCGGUACGGGCUCUGAGAGGAGGAGCCCGGAGAUGGGUACUGAGAUAAGGACCCAGGCCCUAUGGGGCGCAGCAGGCGCGAAACCUCUGCAAUAGGCGAAAGCUUGACAGGGUUACUCUGAGUGACUUUCGUUAAGAAAGUCUUUUGACACCUCUAAAAAUGGUGUAGAAUAAGGGGUGGGCAAGUCUGGUGCCAGCAGCCG
RNAcentral lists this ribosomal RNA (377 nucleotides) under unidentified archaeon. Its description in RNAcentral is "bacterial SSU rRNA". It matches the Rfam family "Archaeal small subunit ribosomal RNA", at positions 90 to 467 of the family's 1478-position model. The record is from RNAcentral.